UACGUAGGGGGCAAGCGUUGUCCGGAUUUAUUGGGCGUAAAGAGCGUGUAGGCGGCCAGACAGGUCCGUUGUGAAAACUCGAGGCUCAACCUCGAGACGCCGAUGGAAACCGUCUGGCUAGAGUCCGGAAGAGGAGAGUGGAAUUCCUGGUGUAGCGGUGGAAUGCGCAGAUAUCAGGAGGAACACCGAUGGCGAAGGCAGCUCGCUGGGACGGUACUGACGCUGAGGCGCGAAAGCGUGGGGAGCGAACAGG
Molecule: ribosomal RNA, 253 nt
Filed under: uncultured bacterium
Lineage: Bacteria
Description: partial 16S ribosomal RNA
Rfam family: Bacterial small subunit ribosomal RNA
Source: RNAcentral